This 680-nucleotide unclassified non-coding RNA is filed under the name Hevea brasiliensis (rubber tree). The record is from RNAcentral. Lineage: Eukaryota; Viridiplantae; Streptophyta; Magnoliopsida; Malpighiales; Euphorbiaceae.
GUUCAAAACUAUUAGGAUUAAAAUAUAAAAAGGCAAAGAAUUAAGGUCCAAAACAAAAAAAUUAUCCACUAAAUCUUAUAACUGAAUUGAAAUUGCAAACUAAAAACAUAAAAGGUAAAAAUUUGUUUUCGAAACCAAAAAACAGAUAACAUCACAAACAACAGACUUAAUCAAACAAACUGAAACCCAUGUCAUCAUCUGACUCCUCAGCAGGCUCUUCCUUCUUCUCCUCCUCUUUAGCAGCAGCAGGAGCAGCUCCAGAACCAGCAGCUGCAGCAGGAGCGGCAGCAACAGCGGCAAACUUACUUGGAUCCGCGAGGUAUUCCUUCACUUUGUCAGCGAGAGGGAAAGAGUAGUCGGUUUCAAUUGCAAUGGCCAACACAUUCUUGUAGGCGUUGGUGAACAUGUGGGGUGCAGCAGCAAGAGUUGGGUAAGAGAUGGCCAAUGCCAAGGAGGUAACCAUAGAUACUCCCAUGGCAAACUUCUCAAUGAGAUCAUCCUCAGUCAGGUCAAGAACCUCAGGGCUGAAGACGGAACCAUUGUCGUAAACAGAGAGAACAACAAGACCGUAUGAGAAUGGCCUAAUACCAAGUUUGGCAAGCAGGGCAGCUUCAGAGGAACCAACUUUAUCACCCUUCUUGAUGAGUUCCACAGGAGUGAUAAUUUCAACAGUACCCUUG